AUAGAGAGAAGAAUAAGACGUUUGGAGAAACAACAGCGCACUUCAUCUUGUAAGGCCCAAGAAACAGAAAUUGCUGAACAACUUGCUAAAUUGAAAGAGGACCUUGAAUAUGUUCGGUUCUUUCCCAAGAAUGAGAAAUAUGUAUCCUUGUUUUCGGGAGGUGAUGAGCAAGAUAUUGUUGACAAAAGAUGUAAAUUACGGGAGCAAAUCAAAGCCAAUAUAGUUGCUGCUGCCGCAAGUGGGAAAGAUUUGGAAGAAACAGGGAGCGAAGACGAUGGGCUUCUUGAUUUAAGCGAUGAUGAUUUCUUUGAAAGUGGAAGCUCAAGUGAUGAUGCUGAUGACGAGUGGACUGAUAAAAGUGCAAGAGAACAAGCUUCUAGUGCAUCUGGCAAAGCAGCUUCUAGCAUGUCCAGUGAUGAAAAGAAUCAGAAGCAAAUAUCUGCCCGUGCUCUAAUGCCGCCACCUCGUCCUUCGAGCAAGUCUUUUAGUCAUUCAGCAAAUAAAAAAUCAAGGUUUGGAGGAUCUACAAGUAAGAAAUCGUCUUUCCGUGAUAUGUCAACCUCCAGCAACACAUCAGAUAGCUUUAAUAGAUCUACAUUCAGAAAAGGAAGACCUGCAGAUUCACUCACAGGCAACAGUGGGAAUAUCAGCUCCAACUCUGAUGCUCGAAAACCCCGAAGAAAGAGGAGACCAAAGAAGAAGAAACAACAGGCUUGAAUCAAGUUUCCAUAGCUCCAAAUACAUUUGUUGUACCAGAGUUGUGAGGACAGUUGAAAUGCCUCUUUAAAUAUUUCAAAGAAUUAGAUAGCAAGUUUCCA
RNAcentral lists this unclassified non-coding RNA (818 nucleotides) under Hevea brasiliensis (rubber tree). The record is from RNAcentral. Lineage: Eukaryota; Viridiplantae; Streptophyta; Magnoliopsida; Malpighiales; Euphorbiaceae.